Bufo bufo (common toad) is the source of this 148-nucleotide long non-coding RNA. RefSeq lists it as uncharacterized. The record is from RefSeq and is a predicted model, not a curated record. The transcript is spliced from 3 exons. Lineage: Eukaryota; Metazoa; Chordata; Amphibia; Anura; Bufonidae.
ACCCUUAAAAAGGGAAGUACCCUGAGAAAGAUACCGAGAAUUGGUGUGUGGUAUAAGGAGUGAUCACAUGGAAUGGGAAUUCCAUAUGAUCAAAGAGGGGAUUGUAAGGAAAUUAUGUCUAUAUCCACACACACAUGUAUAUAUAUAU